This 401-nucleotide ribosomal RNA is filed under the name uncultured bacterium. Its description in RNAcentral is "bacterial SSU rRNA". It matches the Rfam family "Bacterial small subunit ribosomal RNA", at positions 359 to 776 of the family's 1533-position model. The record is from RNAcentral.
GAAUAUUGCCCAAUGGACGAAAGUCUGAGGCAGCAACGCCGCGUGCGCGAUGAAGGCCUUCGGGUCGUAAAGCGCUUUUCGGUGGGAUGAGGAAGGACCGUACCACCGGAAUAAGGUACGGCUAACUACGUGCCAGCAGCCGCGGUAAAACGUAGAUACCGAGCGUUAUCCGGAUUUACUGGGCGUAAAGCGCGUUCAGGCGGUCUGGCAAGUCGGGCAUGAAAUCUCUCGGCUCAACCGGGAGGGGUUGUCCGAUACUGCUGGACUUGCGGGCAGUAGAGGGUGGUGGAAUUCCGGGUGUAGUGGUGAAAUGCGUAGAGAUCCGGAGGAACACCAGUGGCGAAGGCGGCCACCUGGACUGUACCUGACGCUCAAACGCGAAAGCUAGGGGAGCGAACGGG